UUUCCGCCAGUGGGCGUACGCUCUUUUCGAAGAUUAAGCCAUGCAUAUGCUAGUUCAUACAUUAAAAAUGUGAGACUGUGGAAGGCUCAGUAUAUCAGUUAUAAUCUGCUCGAUUGUAAAGGUUAUUGGAUAACCGUGGGAAAUCUAGAGCUAAUACAUGUACUAUCGUGGUUUACUACGAUAAUUGCAUUUAUUAACUAUUACCAACCGUAUUGAGGUGCAUGUUUGCCUCUUUGCGUGAUGAAUCUAGAUAACUUUGCAGAUCGUAUGGCCUUGAGCUGACGACAUUUCGAUUGAAUUUCUGCCCUAUCAACUUUUGUCGGCAGUUUAGUGGACUGCCGAGGUUAUCACGGGUAACGGGGGAUCAGGGUUCGAUUCCGGAGAGGGAGCCUGAGAAACGGCUACCACAUCCAAGGAUGGCAGCAGGCGCGCAAAUUACCCAAUCCAGAUAAUGGGAGGUGGUGAAGAAAAGUACCAAGUGACGGUCGAAAGAUUUGUCAAUUUGGAAUGGAAACAAUUUAAGAAAUUGGUUUGAGUAACAACUGGAGGGCAAGUCUGGUGCCAGCAGCCGCGGUAAUUCCAGCUCCAGUAGCGUAUCUCAAAGUUGCUGCGCUUAAAACGCUCGUAGUUGGAUCAGAAAACAUGUAAUAGUUGGUGCUAACAAGUAUUGAUGUGUCUGAAAGUAUUAUAUGUUCUCAUAUAAUAGCGAGAAGAUGCGUUAAUAUUUAGUAGUAACUGUAAGCUAAUACAUGUUAAUUGCAUGUGAGGAUGAUAAUCGACCUUUAGUGAGUUGAUAUUCGUGUCUCACAGAGUGUGCCUUGAGUAAAUCAGAGUGCUUAAAGCAAGUAUUUAUGCUUGAAUGUUGAUAGCAUGGAACGAACAAUCGUGUAUGGUGUGUAAUAAAUGAAGCAUGUAUGUAUAUACAUUGUUUGUAUUAUUAUACUACACCGACCACCAAUUACGGAUGUUGGUUCCGUAUUGGGGUACUGAUUAAGAGGAGCGGUUGGGGGCAUUGGUAUUUGGCAGCGAGAGGUGAAAUUCUUGGACCUACCAAGGACCAACAAAUGCGAAGGCAUCUGUCAAGACCGUAUCCAUUAAUCAAGAACGAAAGUGAGAGGUUCGAAGACGAUCAGAUACCGUCCUAGUUCUCACUGUAAACUAUGCCGACCCGGGAUCAGUUUGGAGCAAUUUCCACGCUCGAGGUUGGUCCCCCUGGGAAACCUAAAGUUUUUCGGUUGCGGGGGGAGUAUGGUCGCAAGGCUGAAACUUAAAGGAAUUGACGGAAGGGCACCACCAGGGGUGGAGCCUGCGGCUUAAUUUGACUCAACACGGGAAAACUUACCUGGUCCGGACAUUAAGAGGAUAAACAGACUGAAAGAUCUUAUUUUGAUAUGAUGAUUGGUGGUGCAUGGCCGUUCUUAGUUCGUGGAGUGAUCUGUCAGGCCAAUCCCGGUAACGAACGAGAGCACAUUCUCCAUUUGAAGCGCCAAAAAAAAUAUGUUUUUGCAUACUAUAUCAUGUGCGAUAAUGUUGUUGUUGGUAUUGAGUUUUUGUUUUUACUUGAUAAUGUUUCUGUUGUGGCAACAUAACAGUUGCAUUAAAGAGUAAUUAUAUUUAACCUUCCUUUUGGUGUGACAAUGUAUUGAUCGCAAGAUUAGUACGUUGUAUCAUGGAGAGACAGCGGAAUAUAUUUCAAAAUCCGAGGAAGUGUGGCUAUAACAGGUCUGUGAUGCCCUUAGAUGUUCAGGGCUGCACGCGCGCUACAAUGGUUGUGACAACGAGUUUCUGAAUCGAAAGAUUUGGGUAAUCUUGCAAUCACAGCCGUGGUUGGGAUCGACGUUUGUAAUUACGUCGUGAAAUAGGAAUCCCUAGUACGUGCGAUUCAUGAAAUCGCGCGGAUUUCGUCCCUGCCCUUUGUACACACCGCCCGUCGCUACUACCGAGUGAAUGGUGCCAUAAUGCCUUGGGAGCGGACGUCGUUACUAGGUUAACGCCUGGGAGGGCGCUGCAAUCAGCGUAGAAUGGUGCAAUUUCGAGGAAGUAAAAGUCGUAACAAGGUUUCCGUAG
RNAcentral lists this ribosomal RNA (2067 nucleotides) under Henneguya tunisiensis. Its description in RNAcentral is "SSU rRNA". It matches the Rfam family "Eukaryotic small subunit ribosomal RNA". The record is from RNAcentral. Lineage: Eukaryota; Metazoa; Cnidaria; Myxozoa; Bivalvulida; Myxobolidae.